Molecule: non-coding RNA, 106 nt
Organism: Caerostris extrusa
Lineage: Eukaryota; Metazoa; Arthropoda; Arachnida; Araneae; Araneidae
Source: the annotation of a GenBank genome assembly
ACGGCCAUACCAUGCUGAAUAUACCGGUUCUCAGAUCACCCAAGUCCAGCAUCAUUGGGCGCGGUUCAGUACUUGGUGGGUGUCACCUGGGAACACCACGUGCCGU